CACGUAGGGCGCAAGCGUUGUCCGGAAUUAUUGGGCGUAAAGAGCUCGUAGGCGGCUCAGUAAGUCGGGUGUGAAAACUCCAGGCUCAACCUGGAGACGCCACCUGAUACUGCUGUGGCUAGAGUCCGGUAGGGGAGCAUGGAAUUCCUGGUGUAGCGGUGAAAUGCGCAGAUAUCAGGAGGAACACCAGUGGCGAAGGCGGUGCUCUGGGCCGGAACUGACGCUGAGGAGCGAAAGCGUGGGGAGCAAACAGG
This 254-nucleotide ribosomal RNA is filed under the name uncultured bacterium. Its description in RNAcentral is "partial 16S ribosomal RNA". It matches the Rfam family "Bacterial small subunit ribosomal RNA", at positions 524 to 776 of the family's 1533-position model. The record is from RNAcentral.